AGAGCGAACGCUGGCGGCAGGCUUAACACAUGCAAGUCGAGCGGGCGUAGCAAUACGUCAGCGGCAGACGGGUGAGUAACGCGUGGGAACGUACCUUUUGGUUCGGAACAACCCAGGGAAACUUGGGCUAAUACCGGAUAAGCCCUUACGGGGAAAGAUUUAUCGCCGAAAGAUCGGCCCGCGUCUGAUUAGCUAGUUGGUGAGGUAAUGGCUCACCAAGGCGACGAUCAGUAGCUGGUCUGAGAGGAUGAUCAGCCACAUUGGGACUGAGACACGGCCCAAACUCCUACGGGAGGCAGCAGUGGGGAAUAUUGGACAAUGGGCGCAAGCCUGAUCCAGCCAUGCCGCGUGAGUGAUGAGGGCCCUAGGGUUGUAAAGCUCUUUUGUGCGGGAAGAUAAUGACGGUACCGCAAGAAUAACGCCCGGACUACUUCGCGCCAGCAGCCGC
Molecule: ribosomal RNA, 448 nt
Filed under: uncultured bacterium
Lineage: Bacteria
Description: SSU rRNA
Rfam family: Bacterial small subunit ribosomal RNA
Source: RNAcentral